UGCACUCACAGAAAACCUCUGUCUAUCUUGUAUAACGGUUACUUAGUACAGUGCAGUGAAAAGAGGGAGGACACAGUUCGUAGUGAUCUGGACGCCAUGACAGUGCGUAUAUACUCGUGCUGAAACUAAGGUACAACAAACUUAGCGCCACUUCUAAGCACGUACAUGUCUAGAGAGAACAAAAAUCUUGGUCAUGGAUCUCAAGGAGACUGAAGCCAGCAAUGACUGUGCUGGCGAAGGCUAGCAGGAAUUUAACCAUCCGAUCGAUCAGCCUUUAAAGAGUUCGAAGUAUAAAUAUAGUGAUUACAAAUAAACUCGGUAUAUUGAAUUUAAAUAAGAGAAUUCAAAAUAAUGGACUUAAUUUCAUUCAUCAUGUUGAAAGAACUGAACCUGAACUCAUUCCAAAACAGUUAAUGGACCAUACACGCAGAGGAACAAGAUCCACUGGACUCCCGAAGUUGAGCUGCAAGGAUCAAUCUAUGUUACAGUUGAAGAGAGUGGAUCCAAAGUUUCAGACUAUGAUGCUGAUGACGACCAAGCUGAUGAUACUUCAGCAUUUGUAUAGGGUUCGGUGUUUCUGUGGUGAAGAUGCAUGUUGUGGUCUUCUUAGUUACGUCAUCGUGUAAUCUCUGUAGGUCGGUACCAACGCUUCGGAAAAAAAAUAUAUUUCCUCCCUUUUCAGGAGGGUACUUCUACCAGAACGGAGGCUGAAGUUUGUUCCUCCGGCACGAUGUUCCCACUCACCAUAUUUCCUCCAUUUUGAGGGCUGAAGUGACUCCUACUCUGAAGAUGUGGGCAGUCUGAUAAGACUACAAUAUCAGUUUUAAUGUUCAGUUUAGAGAGUUUUAAGACAGACUCUUAUUUUGUGUGACACGUGGAGUCAUACAAACCGGUGCGACAUGAUUUCAACAUGUAGCUUGAUUGCAAUAAAUAUUUAAGGCAUGUAUGAAGUUUGUUUUGACGGAGCAGUGUUUUCUUGAGCUUGUUCCAAUUAAUGGAACUCAAUAAUGGAUCAAUGUUGCAAACCCAAGAUAAAAUGGCUGCUCCUUGGCAACGCUGUGACAGUCGCCGACAUUUUGUGCUUUUGGACUAAUAUCACAGUACAAAGAUGAUUGUAAUGUGCGUGCGCGCGUGUGUGUGUGAGCUUUCACAUUUCUAUUUAACUUAAUUUGCUGACAAAAUGUGGUUGCGAUUUCAUUGUAUGUGCAUUAAGUAAGUCUCAAUUAUUGCAGUGUUUUUGCACUAAUCCAUAUAAACAUAGAAACGGCGUUCUCAGUCAAGAUGAAAUUAAAAGUUUGGAAAUUCUUGACUACCUGAGCAACAGUUGGCUUCUCUAAAUGGGUUGCGCACCAUGGAGUGAGUACCUCACUUUGCACGUCCAUGUUUUAUUGGGGCCGCAUUCAAACCCAUACCAAAUCGCAUUCCACGUGUAUGCUUCGGGUUGUACGUGGUAUGAGUGGCUGCGGCGGCUGCAGUAGGGGAGUCCUAGUGGGCCUGCACGAUGGGCGAUCCGCGAUUGGUUGAUGCUAAGGAGAGUCGCAAGCCCAGACGGCGCAGACAAGAGUUGCUCGAGAUGUGAAUAGAUAGAGAGUAUACGUCAUCGCAGUUGGUGUUUGGUGUUUUUGAGGUCUUGUUAGCCGAAGUUAAGAUCGUAAUGGAUUCGUCACUGGCAAGAGAUGUAUUGUCCAGACACAAGCCACCCUCGUGGAGCAAUAAGGUGCCUCGUAGGGAAGUGCUUCAAGAAUUGACGAAUUACAGCCCAGAAUUUAUUUCUGCUAAGAAUAAAAUAAAACCGAUUGUCAGACAUGUAGAUGUGUGUAAUGUGUUCAGGGUUGAGAACCCAUAUCUUUUUGGCUCUUACCUGCUCAAGAAAGAAGAGUAUAUAAAGCGGUAUGGGAGUUGCAGAGAGCUGGAACUAUUCCAUGCCACCGACAUUGCUAAUGUACUGUCUAUAACCACGGAUAAUCUGGAUUGGCGUCGAAGUGUACGCACGAAGUUUGGAGGGGGCGUCAGUUUUUCUCCAUGUCCAAAUUACGCAAACACCUACUGCAAUCGAAGCUGUAGUUCAUCCAUACGUGCCAUGAUUAUUGCGCAGGUACUGGUUUGCAGAACUUGUGCUGGGUAUGGCGGAAUGGAAUUACCCCCACGUACUGCAGAUACGAGCACAGGCAACGGUGGAAAAGUCUAUGUUAAAUACAAUGACAAUGAGUUUUACCCACAAUAUGUGGCAUAUUAUAGGGGGAACUGUCUGUAGACUCCGUUUGGAUAACUUUUUAAUGCGGCGCUUUCCAAUUUUCCACUGUUUUGAAAAAAGAAAGGGGGAGGAGGAAUAUUCCAGUUUUGAAAAAAGAAGGGGGGGGGGAAGUGUGGGUAUAAAUCAGUCAAACUUUGUUACUUUGUAGCCGGUAGUUAUUUUCCAGCUCACUCUGAGAAUUGUUUGGACGCACACACUCAUAUACGAGCAUGUAAACACUAUAUAAAUAUACUCCUAUAUGUAUAUAAAUAAAUAUAAAGGUUCUGUGCUUAAGUAAUGAAGCACUACACAACAAAGGUUUGCAUGACCUCUGCAUUAGUUUUAAGUGAGUGGGUAGUUCUAACGCCCAGGCCGAUUUUCAACAGGGGAAGGAGCCCGUGGUACCCAUUGGAUAGAAUAAUUAUGUUUGUAGAAUGAUGUUCUCUCUCUCUAGUGAAUAUUAGUUUGACAAGAGUUUAAGAGGUAUAAAACGUUUGUUAGGAUUGCGAAAAAGAUUUGGAAGAUGUUGAAAUAGUUUUCUACUGUUGGGUGACAUUACAAGAAAGCUCCAACCUCAAUUUUCAGAUAUACGAUACCUAUCCAGUUUGAUUCAAAUGCCUGGAUGUGGUAACUUUGUAUUUUUCAUUUGAACAUACUUAACCUAUUAAGUGUGGAUCACAGUAUUGUGUGUAGAAAUAUUUUUAGGAAAUAGAGCUUAAAAAAUUAACCACUAUUUGACUGAGAAGUAUUUAAAUUGUUGUGUGGGUUGUUAUGCCAUGUAGUUAGCAGACAUGUACCCACCUACCACACUGCACAUCAUCUCAUCAUGUAAUCUUGUAUUAAUAUUCCUGCCACAACCUGCAUGUUUUUAUAUAUAGUAUAAUGACAAUACAUAAAUUCCAAUUGGCGAGUCAUUUCAGAAAUAGUAUCUACAAAAUAUUCACAGUAACUUUCGGAUUUGGAUGUGGUGUAUAACCUGUUUAUUUUAGUAACACAUUGCCUCAUGUUUGAAAUGACUGAUCUUGAUUUUAGUAACACACACACACACACACACACACAUAUAUAUAUAUAUAUAUAUAGUUGCUUUAUGUCGUGAAUUUUCACUUUGAUAUUGCCUUCUUUGUGUUUGAUAUGUCUGAUUUUGAUACAUGUCUAAUGUGACUGUGUACCUGAAAUGAGACUUAUGCAUACAAAUACAAAUAAAUAAAUAAAUCUAUCUGUGUGUAUUGAUAUGUCUGAUUUUGAUACAUGUCUAAUGUGGCUGUAUACUUGAAUGAGACUUGUGCGUACAAAUACAAAGAAAUAAAUAAAUCAGUGUGUAUUGAUAUGUCUGAUCUUGAUACAUGUCUAAUGUGACUGUGUACCUGAAAUGAGACUUAUGCAUACAAAUACAAAUAAAUAAAUAAAUAAAUCUAUCUGUGUGUAUUGAUAUGUCUGAUUUUGAUACAUGUCUAAUGUGGCUGUAUACUUGAAUGAGACUUGUGCGUACAAAUACAAAGAAAUAAAUAAAUCAGUGUGUAUUGAUAUGUCUGAUCUUGAUACAUGUCUAAUGUGACUGUGUACCUGAAAUGAGACUUAUGCAUACAAAUACAAAUAAAUAAAUAAAUAAAUCUA
Cryptotermes secundus is the source of this 3847-nucleotide long non-coding RNA. RefSeq lists it as uncharacterized. The transcript is spliced from 3 exons. The record is from RefSeq and is a predicted model, not a curated record. NCBI's taxonomy places the organism in Eukaryota, Metazoa, Arthropoda, Insecta, Blattodea, Kalotermitidae.